This 387-nucleotide transfer-messenger RNA is filed under the name Caldithrix abyssi. RNAcentral describes it as "Standard tmRNA". It matches the Rfam family "transfer-messenger RNA". From Rfam's summary of the family: Bacterial tmRNA, also known as 10Sa RNA or SsrA, is named for its dual tRNA and mRNA-like properties. Its role is to liberate the mRNA from a stalled ribosome. The record is from RNAcentral. RNAcentral also lists the same sequence under 1 other name. Lineage: Bacteria; Pseudomonadati; Calditrichota; Calditrichia; Calditrichales; Calditrichaceae.
GGGGACGAUUCAGGAUUCGACGGGCAUGAGAAGGGUAUGAACUGCAACCCGGGCUUUGACCAUCCCGUCCCGUAAGGGAUCCCGGUUAUCGGGAUAAAACUGGUCAGGCAAAAAUAAAUGCCAACAAUAAUUACGCACUGGCAGCUUAAUUAACGCUGCCACGCUGCUUCGCCUCCAAUCCACCGGGGGUGAAGUAAGCGUCGUUUUUGGGUGGAUGGUGAAGAUGGCGUCGCCCGGAAGCCAUCGACACCUAACAUAACCGGGCUGGUCUGCUAACAGGCAAGCUGGUUGGCCAGUUAGCAGACGAGAAUAAACAACCAGCUAUGGUUGUAGAAGUUCAUACUGGUCCAUGUCCGGACCCGGGUUCGACUCCCGGCGUCUCCACUA